GGUGGAUCUGAGGUCAACAGUUCGAGACCAGCCUGGCCAAUAUGGUGAAACCCUAUCUCUACUAAAAAUACAAAAAUUAGGUCAGGCGUGGUGGCUCAUGCCUGUAAUCCCAGCAUUUUGGGAGGCUGAGGCGGGGGAAUCACCUGAGGUCAGGAGUUUGAGACCAGCUUGGCCAACAUGGUGAAACUCCAUCUUUACUAAAAAUACAAAAAUUAGCGGGUUGUGGUAGUGGGCACCUGUAAUCCCAGCUACUUGGGAGGCUGAGGCAAGAGAAUCUCUUGAACCCGGGAGGUGGAGGUUGUAGUGAGCCGAGAUCGUGCUAUUGCACUCCGGCCUCCACAACGAGAGCGUAUCUUUGUCUCAAAAAAAAGUACAAAAAUUAGCCGGACAUGGUGGCACACGCCUGUAGUCGCAGCUACUUGGGCAGCUGAGGCAGGAGAAUUGCUUGAACCCAGGAGGCAGAGGUUGCAGUGAGCCAAGAUCAUGCCACUGACUCCAGCCUGGGUGACAGAGCUAAAAAAAAAAAAAAAGAUAAAACAUAGAUACAGAAAACCACAAAGGAAAAGCAUAGCAUAUUGAAUCAUCACAAGGCAGCCACCCCUUCAUAGCCACACCUGGCCCCUGGCCACCACUGACCUGUGCUCCAUCGCCAGAAUUCCAUUGUCUCAAGAAUGUUCGAUGAAUGGAAUCCUGUGUGGCCUGAGAUGAGUGUCUUUCAUGCCGCGUGACACCCUUGAGGCCCGUGCAAGCUGUUGGUAUGUAAACAGUCAGCUGCUUCUCAUUGCUGAGUGGCGAUUGGUCCUGUCAUGGUUUAUUCAGCCAUGUGGUGGAUGGCUACUUGUCUUCUAAGCCACUUGUUUUCUUAUUGCUGGACUUACUGUCUCACGCUCUCUUGGUGCAGCCCUCGGAAGGCUUGGUCACACUCUCCGAGAGCACAGCCAUCAUCUCCCACGGUACCACAGGCCUGGUCACAUGGGAUGCCACCUGCUACCUUGCAGAAUGGGCCAUCGAGAACCCGGCAGCCUUCACUAACAGACGUGCUGUAUUGCCCAGAAGCCAUCGUGUCGCUGGUCGGGGUCCUGCGGAGGCUGGCUGCCUGCCGGGAGCACCAGCGGGCUCCUGAGGUCUACAUGGCCUUUACCGUCCACAACCCAGAGACAUGCCAGCUGUUCACCACCGAGCUAGGCUGGGCUGGGAUCAGAUGGGAAGCGGAAGCUCAUCAUGACCAGAAACUGUUUCCCUAUGGAGAGCACUUGGAGAUGGCAGUGCUGAACCUCACACUGUAGGACUCACACACGACUCCAAUGGGAUUGUGAGAAUCAAGUCACUCUCGUGGGAAGAAUUUUUAUAUGGGAAAGCGGAUAAAACUUUCAUUGGACUGGAAUGUUUGGAGAAUGUUAAAUUCCAAAUCAGGAACCACAAACUGCCCUCUAAUAAGACAUCGGCUAUCUAAGCGUGUGGGUGCCCCCUUUCUGCCAGCAGUUCUGGUUCUUAAGAAAAUCACCAUAAAUCAGACAUGAAAAUUCUGGCUCCAAAAAUAGCAUUUUCUUUGUGCAAAUAAAAACGUGUGUAUCUAAUAUGACGUUCCCCCAACGUGGACACACUCGGUUCCUCACAAAGCCAAGCCCGCUGCAGCUGCCACAUCCCUGGACACACUCGGUUCCUCACAAAG
RNAcentral lists this long non-coding RNA (1672 nucleotides) under Pan troglodytes (chimpanzee). RNAcentral describes it as "long non-coding RNA NONPTRT011981". Lineage: Eukaryota; Metazoa; Chordata; Mammalia; Primates; Hominidae. The record is from RNAcentral.